GAUUUACAGAUAUUAUUAAUGGUUUAAAAAAUCUUGAUAAAUCUUAUACGAAUAGUGAUCUUAUGAGAAAAAUUCUUAGAUCUUUGCCAAGGUUAUGAGAAGCAAAGGUCACAAUCAUUCAAGAAGUCAAAAACUUAAAUGUUCUACCAUUGAAGGAGCUUCUAGGAUUAUUGAUGAUGCAUGAACUCUUAAUGAAGCAGCAU
Molecule: long non-coding RNA, 203 nt
Filed under: Elaeis guineensis (African oil palm)
Lineage: Eukaryota; Viridiplantae; Streptophyta; Magnoliopsida; Arecales; Arecaceae
Description: long non-coding RNA (EGUI_LNC078888)
Source: RNAcentral